Molecule: ribosomal RNA, 200 nt
Filed under: uncultured bacterium
Lineage: Bacteria
Description: partial 16S ribosomal RNA
Rfam family: Bacterial small subunit ribosomal RNA
Source: RNAcentral
AUUGAACGCUGGCGGCAGGCCUAACACAUGCAAGUCGAGCGCGAAAGUUCUUCGGAAUGAGUAAAGCGGCGGACGGGUGAGUAAUACAUGGGAAUCUGCCUGGUAGUGGGGGACAACGUUUCGAAAGGAAUGCUAAUACCGCAUACGCCCUACGGGGGAAAGGGGGGGAUCUUCGGACCUCUCGCUAUCAGAUGAGCCCA